Phoenix dactylifera (date palm) is the source of this 1361-nucleotide long non-coding RNA. RefSeq lists it as uncharacterized. The record is from RefSeq and is a predicted model, not a curated record. Lineage: Eukaryota; Viridiplantae; Streptophyta; Magnoliopsida; Arecales; Arecaceae.
GUCGCUUCAAAUGCGCCACACGUGCCCCUUGGUCGCGUGGCUUAAAAGGAAUGCCAAACCCUCUCCACCUCCGCUCCCACUCUCCUUUCCAUAAAUGGCAUUCGCCAGACCCCUCUUCGGGCCCGAAAACCCUAAUCCUAACCCUAGCUGGAGGAGGAGGGGGGGGCCAUGACGGCGAUCGUGAUGGAGGAAGGGAAGGAGAAGGCGACAGCGACGACGGCAGUGGCGGAGGCAAGCAGUCGGCAGCUGAUGCACAGUCAGGUGCGGAGGAUACGGGAGGAGGAGCUGAGGAUCACCAGCGAGGGGAAGCGGAGUGCCGGGGACCGGGUCGCGCUGCUCCAUCCCCGCCCCCACGUCGACGCAACCUCGUGUUCGUGGUCGCGGCCAGUCCUGCCGUCUUCCCCUCUCGGGAGCAAGGCGGCGACCGGAUCGUCCCUCUUCUGAUAGCAGAGCCCGGAAUUGGAAUCUCAACCGCCUCGUACCUGUCAAAUGACCGAUUCUAACUCUGGGGUUAGGUCCGGUCCGGAAACGCACCUUUACAAGCUUUUCAGAGUUACGGCCGCAGAACAGAGCAGAAACUCUUUUUCAGUUUUCCAUCCUUGUAGAAAGUACAUUGUGGAUGUGCAGCCCAAGAGGUAAUAUUAUCAUUUUCUUAGGGGUAUAUGUGGAAAGAAGAUUUGAUUCUCUUUUCGGGCAACUUUCAUCGCUCUUUUUUCUGUGCAACCGUCGGCUCAACAGACUUUCUGUGACCGCGGGAGAGAGAGAGAGAGAAAGAGAGAGAGAGAGAGCUCCACUGAUUGACGGCGGGGACCACAUUAUAAAUGUGGACCCCGCCUGUCAUGGCUUGGGGUUCUGACGCUCGUACACUCGGACGCUGACGCCUCGCGCCCAGUUCUCCGUCCUCUAACGCCGCCAGCCGUCCGAUCUCUGCCCCUCGAUCGGCAUCUUUGUGGGACCCAUCCUCCGUUCCGCUGCUCCGCCGGCAACACUUAAUCCCCAUCAGAAACCCAACCCUAUCCCUAUCUAUCGGCUCCCAUUGGUCACCACGCAUUCUCUAGGCGGUUCCGGGGGUGCGCUGGAACAGUCUGAAAGCGAAGGGAAGACCAGCUUUUUUUUUUUUUUUUCCCCCUACAGUUCGAUAUAUAGCAAACCCAUUUCACAUGGGGGUACGGACAGACUUGGAGAUUAGAAGCAUCCAUGAAGGUGAGAAUAGAAUAAAAUAAAACAUACAGACCGAGUAGUAGCGGAGGAAGAAGAAGAUGGAUUACAUGAACUUUCUCAGCAGCGGUUGUUGGUCGGUUGCUGGAGGAGACAACUCGAGCCAAAAAACCUCGAAGAAAUGUACAUGGAAAAGAAAGAAA